Molecule: ribosomal RNA, 376 nt
Filed under: uncultured bacterium
Lineage: Bacteria
Description: bacterial SSU rRNA
Rfam family: Bacterial small subunit ribosomal RNA
Source: RNAcentral
UACGUAGGGGGCAAGCGUUGUCCGGAAUUAUUGGGCGUAAAGCGCGCGCAGGCGGUUUUAUAAGUCUGGUGUGAAAGCCCACGGCUCAACCGUGGAGGGUCACUGGAAACUGUAAGACUUGAGUAUAGGAGAGGAAAGUGGAAUUCCAUGUGUAGCGGUGAAAUGCGUAGAUAUAUGGAGGAACACCAGUGGCGAAGGCGACUUUCUGGCCUAUAACUGACGCUGAGGCGCGAAAGCGUGGGGAGCAAACAGGAUUAGAUACCCUGGUAGUCCACGCCGUAAACGAUGAGUGCUAGGUGUUAGGGGUUUCGAUGCCCUUAGUGCCGCAGCAAACGCAAUAAGCACUCCGCCUGGGGAGUACGGCCGCAAGGCUGAA